GAUGAAGAACGUAGCGAAAUGCGAUAAGUAAUGUGAAUUGCAGAAUUCAGUGAAUCAUCGAAUCUUUGAACGCACAUUGCGCCCCCUGGUAUUCCGGGGGGCAUGCCUGUCCGAGCGUCAUUACAACCCUCAAGCUCAGCUUGGUGUUGGGCCCCGCCGCCCCGGCGGGCCCUAAAGUCAGUGGCGGUGCCGUCCGGCUCCGAGCGUAGUAAUUCUUCUCGCUCUGGAGGUCCGGUCGUGUGCUCGCCAGCAACCCCCAAUUUUUUUCAGGUUGACCUCGGAUCAGGUAGGGAUACCCGCUGAACUUAAGCAUGUCAAUAAGCGGAGGA
RNAcentral lists this unclassified non-coding RNA (329 nucleotides) under soil metagenome. RNAcentral's name for it is "partial contains 5.8S ribosomal RNA, internal transcribed spacer 2, and large subunit ribosomal RNA". The stretch from base 1 to 120 matches the Rfam family "5.8S ribosomal RNA", at positions 35 to 154 of the family's 154-position model. The record is from RNAcentral.